CCUGACUGCACUGGAUGGAACUUUCACCACUGUGCUGAAUAAAAAUGAUGAGAGAGGAUCCUUCUUUUGUUCUCAGUCUCGAGGAGAAAGCAUUCAGUCUUGCACCAGACAGGAAUGCCAAAGGCUGGGCCAGACAGACUGUUUGGAGUCCUGAUAAUGGGUGUACCCAUGGGAAGAAACCUAGAAGAGUCCGUGGCACUUUCCAUUAUAGUGGCAGGCAGAGGGUUUGCAUUGUUUUAAAACGGCACCCUAUGGUCUCCUGGUGAACAAGCUUGGAUGAAUUUAAUGAACAAGCCCUGAGUGGCUUUGGAAUCCUUGCAAAGUUCUUGGUUUAGAAACAACUGAGAUUUUCAGAUCUAAGAAAAGGUAAAUAUAAAAAAUUGAAGCAAAAUGUCAUUGCUUGAUGGCUAAAAGCUUUAUAGAAACCUAAAAGAGUUAGAGAAGGAAGAUCUCUCAAUGGAAAUGCUAAGAAGAGACACAAGGAAAGACACAUCACUAAGGAGAGACACAAGGAAAAUGGCUCUACGACUACAGUGCAUUUAAAGAAUGAGAACGUUCCUUCUACCGAGAUUUCAGAUGAAGCCUUCCUUUGUGUGCGUGCACUCCUGUCUGGAGGGCAGCUCAAAGUGACUUCCUAAUUCUGUCAGGAUACUGGCAAGUGUUCUGUUAGGACAACAGGACCUCAAAGACUUCUCUGCCUCAUAGAAUUCCGUUGGGUGCAGCACAUCCUUUAGAGUAUUGCAGAAAGCAUAUCCUUAGCAACUACAGAUCAUAUUUUUGUUGAAACACUUACCUCUUUUACAGACUGAAACAGGAUUUGAGGGUGUCUCCCAGAUAUUUGCCUUGCUCCAAGGGCUUCACCUGCAUAACUUUACAGUUCCGAUGAAUCAUUUCAAGACUAAACUGUCCAACUUCAACUAAGGUUUCCAAUGUGUGAACUUCUAGAAAGAACUUUAAAGCCAAAUGUUUCAAAAAUUUUUCCAUGAGUACUUAUCUGAGAGCAGUUGUAUCCAGGCAGAGAGCUUUGAAAGAACAAUGUCUGAGGACAAACCGUGAGAAGCUGAAUAGGUUAGAAUAGGUCACACACUCCGUUUUACCAUCUGAGGCCCCUCCAGAUGGACAGGGGUGAGAGUCUGGCUGGCCUACGGCUGAGGACAGUGAUUCUCAGCACUCACCAUAGACCUACUGAAUCAGGAUAUCUGGGAAUGGGGCUCAGCAAUAUGUUUUGGCAACCUCUCCAGCACAUUCAAAUUGGAGAACCACUAGAGAAGAUAAGAGCAUUUGCUAUCACAGAUUUUGGAGUGUGUGCACAGCUGUGCAGAGACCAUUUUAAUUAACUUUGAGAGCCCAACCAAUAGUGUGGUUUUACCCUAAGAUUUACCACUUGGUGGGGAUUGGGAAAACUAGGAAUUCACAUUCCAACCACACAGUAGUGGAAAAUACCUCUCUAUGCUCAUAACGGAAUGAGAAUUAAACUUUAAGAAAAUGACUUUGAUCCUGAGGACCUCCUGAAAGAGUUUUGGGGAUUCCCAGGCUUCCUUGGACCACACUUUGAGAAUCACUGUUCUAUACAAGGUGCUAUUUGUAUCCAGUUGUAUUUGCCAGCUGUUUAGGCAGAUCAUUUAGACAAUUAUUUCCAGUGUCAUUUCUAAUCAUUUCAUGUACAGUCAUGUGCUACCUAACAACGUUUCAGUCAACAAUGAACCACAUGGUAUGAUGGUGAUCCCAUAUGAUUAUAAUGGAGCUGAAAAAUACCUAUUGCCUAGUGACAUUGUAGUUGCCCUAACAUGGUAGUAUAAUGCAUUACUUAUGUGUUUGUGGUGAUGCUGGUGUAAACAAACCUGUGCCUCCAGUUGUAUAAAAGUAUCGCACAUACAGUUACUCAUAGUACACAAUACUUGAUAAUGAUAAUAAAUGACUAUGAUACUGGCUUAUGUAUUUACUCUGCCAUACUUUUUUAUCAUUAUUUUAGAAUGCACUCCUUCUACUUACAAAAAGAAAGUUAACUGUAAAACACCCUCAGGCAGGUCCUUCAGGAGGAAUUCCAGAAGGCGUUAUUAUCAUAGGAGAUGACAGCUCCAUGCGUGUUAUUGCCCUUGAAGGCCUUCCAGUGGGACAAGAUGUGGAAAUGGAAGACAGUGAUAUUGAUGAUCCUGACCCUGUGUAGGCCUAGGCUAAUGUGUGUGUUUGUAUCUUAAUUUUUAGCAAAAGGUUUCAAAAGUAAAACAAAAAAACUAAAAGUAGAAUACAGCUUAUAGAAUAAUAUUAUAAACAAAUAAAACAUUCUGGACAGCUGUAUAAUGUGUUUGUGUUUUAAGCCAUGUGUUAUUACAAAAGGGUCAAAAAGUUUACAAAAAUUAGAAAGUUUAUAAAGUAAAAGAGUUGUAUUAAGCUAAGGUUAAUUAUUAUUGAAUAAAUAAAACUUUUUUAUAAAUUUA
Long non-coding RNA from Symphalangus syndactylus (siamang), 2438 nucleotides. RefSeq lists it as uncharacterized. The record is from RefSeq and is a predicted model, not a curated record. Lineage: Eukaryota; Metazoa; Chordata; Mammalia; Primates; Hylobatidae.